Molecule: ribosomal RNA, 477 nt
Filed under: uncultured bacterium
Lineage: Bacteria
Description: partial 16S ribosomal RNA
Rfam family: Bacterial small subunit ribosomal RNA
Source: RNAcentral
GAUGAACGCUGGCGGCGUGCCUAACACAUGCAAGUCGAACGAAGCACCUUACCUGAUUCUUCGGCUGCAAGUUUGGUGACUGAGUGGCGGACGGGUGAGUCACGCGUGGGUAAACUGCCCUGUACAGGGGGAUAACAGCUGGAACCGGCUGCUAAUACCGCCUAAGCGCCCGGGGUGACAUAUCCUUGUGUGAAAAGCUCCGGUGGUACAGGAUGGGCCCGCGUCUGAUUAUCUGGUUGGCAGGGUAACUGCCUACCAAGGCAACGAUCAGUAGCCGGACGGAGAGGAUGAACGGCCACAUUGGAACUGAGACACGGUCCAAACUCCUACGGGAGGCAGCAGUGGGGAAUAUUGCACAACGGGGGAAACCCUGAUGCAGCAACGCUGCGGGAGGGAAGAAUUAGUUCGGUAUGUAAAGCUCUAUCAGCAGGGAAGAUAAUGACGGUACCUGACUAAAAAACUACGGCUAAACACGUG